Candidatus Burkholderia humilis is the source of this 221-nucleotide non-coding RNA. The record is from Rfam. Lineage: Bacteria; Pseudomonadati; Pseudomonadota; Betaproteobacteria; Burkholderiales; Burkholderiaceae.
AAAGUUCUUUACGAUGAAGAACUAGCGAUUCACAUCGACCCCGAGUCAUGCGGUGGCACUCGCGAGGGUGUCACCGAAGCGUUGACAGGGGCGCACGUAGGCCAGCCAUUGAGCGAGGAAAGACUUUCCAAUCGGAGUGCUGAUGCUUUCCAGUCAGCAGAAGGCAAUACUGAGCAUCGGCUUGAGCGGCAGCUUCUGAGCGGCAGCCGCAUCGGAGCUCG